GGCUUACCUCCUCAUUUAUGCGUCAUGACUUGUAUCGUCAUGAGCGUAUUGUGGGUUUCCUGUGUUGCAUACCUAACCAAUGGUAUCGUUUUGAUUGAUCGAAGUCCCUUUUCAUCUUGUGUUGCCUUUGCGACGCAUGAUGAACCUCGAAGCGGUCUCUAUGUUCCACCAUGUUGAUGCUAGUGUUUCGAUGUUGUGGCCCAUUGAGCGUUGCUUGGUUUCGUGGGUACAGAACAUGAUUUGGGCAUAGGGUCACUCGUGACUCUUGUUUUGUCCUUUACCAGUGUUCUUUAUAACGACGGUUCAUGCGCGCCUAGGCUCGUACCUGCGCGAUGUUCUUUGUCGAAGAGGAAUGC
RNAcentral lists this unclassified non-coding RNA (356 nucleotides) under Senecio inornatus. Its description in RNAcentral is "partial external transcribed spacer". The record is from RNAcentral. Lineage: Eukaryota; Viridiplantae; Streptophyta; Magnoliopsida; Asterales; Asteraceae.